This 175-nucleotide microRNA precursor is filed under the name Glycine max (soybean). RNAcentral describes it as "miR4402 stem-loop (gma-MIR4402)". Lineage: Eukaryota; Viridiplantae; Streptophyta; Magnoliopsida; Fabales; Fabaceae. The record is from miRBase by way of RNAcentral.
CGUUUGAGGCCCAUAAUAUGUUAAAAUGCUCAAAAUUAAAUGAGGAAUCCCCUAACAAAUAUCCAAAGGGGAUUUAGUCAACUCAUUUUUCCAAAAAUAGGAUUUAAGAUUUUUGCCAGGGGAUUCCUCAUUUAAUUUCGAACAUUUUGACAUAUUAUGGGUCUCAGACGGACAU